UGAGGAAUAUUGGUCAAUGGGCGAGAGCCUGAACCAGCCAAGUAGCGUGAAGGAUGACUGCCCUAUGGGUUGUAAACUUCUUUUAUAAGGGAAUAAAGUGGAGGACGUGUCCUCCUUUGUAUGUACCUUACGAAUAAGGAUCGGCUAACUCCGUGCCAGCAGCCGCGGUAAUACGGAGGAUCCAAGCGUUAUCCGGAUUUAUUGGGUUUAAAGGGAGCGUAGGUGGACUAGUAAGUCAGUUGUGAAAGUUUGCGGCUCAACCGUAAAAUUGCAGUUGAUACUGUUAGUCUUGAGUACAGUAGAGGUGGGCGGAAUUCGUGGUGUAGCGGUGAAAUGCUUAGAUAUCACGAAGAACUCCGAUUGCGAAGGCAGCUCACUAGACUGGCACUGACACUGAGGCUCGAAAGUGUGGGUAUCAAACAGG
This 424-nucleotide ribosomal RNA is filed under the name uncultured prokaryote. RNAcentral's name for it is "bacterial SSU rRNA". It matches the Rfam family "Bacterial small subunit ribosomal RNA", at positions 355 to 776 of the family's 1533-position model. RNAcentral also lists the same sequence under 1 other name. The record is from RNAcentral.